Non-coding RNA from Arachis ipaensis, 247 nucleotides. Lineage: Eukaryota; Viridiplantae; Streptophyta; Magnoliopsida; Fabales; Fabaceae. The record is from RefSeq and is a predicted model, not a curated record.
CUUUCUGGGUCACUAUAUACAUUAUAUUACAUGUUUCUUAGAUUCGUAUUAAUCUUCCCACUCUUACCGAUAAGGAUAAGGAGGUAAUUAGCACAUGGGGUGUUAGAAACAAUAUCGAUUUCCUUUUACUGUAUGCUCGGCAUGUAGAAGAUGCUCGCCAUGUAAGUGCUACUCCUCAUAGCUUAUAUAUUAUUCUCUUCUAAAUUCUUCUGAUGUUGCCUAGUUUUUAUUAUAAACUUCUGAAAUA